This 1047-nucleotide long non-coding RNA is filed under the name Numida meleagris (helmeted guineafowl). Its description in RNAcentral is "lncRNA (ENSNMEG00000018989.1)". Lineage: Eukaryota; Metazoa; Chordata; Aves; Galliformes; Numididae. The record is from RNAcentral.
AUGACACACAGUGUCGUUCUUCCCCGCUCAGAGGCAAACCCUCGCCGCCCGCACCCAGCCCCGCGGCCGGGGCAGCGCUGGGGCGCCGGCACCGGCGGGGUGACAGAAAGCAUGCUGGAACGAAAAAAUAAACGUAAAUCGCAACAACAAAGGACACCACGCCGCACAAGCGCCUGCGGAUUUCUGGCUCGCUCUGGGUUUCGUUCUCUCGUGUUGUUGUUACCUUGCCUGAUAACGGAUGCGCCCAGCGUCCCGCCGGCCCGGUGUCUGCGCUCGGCGCGGGGCCGCCCGCUGCGUGUACGGUGCCGCGGCCGCGCCGCCGUUACAGCGCAGCGCCCGUCUUCCUGCCAGACAUGGUCUCUUCCUCCGCCUCCGCCGCGGGAGGAGAUCCGCCGCCGGCCGAGCGCGGUGCCGCGGUGCCGCCCGACCCGCCGCCUCCCGCCUGGGCCGGCUCCUCUCGCCGGGCUGUGCCGCCUGCCCGCCUCGGCGCUGCCUGCCCUCGCCACGGGUCCCCUCCGUGCCUGCCCGGGUCCCCUCUGGCUCGCUCUCCCUCCCGCCCGUCCCCUGUCCUUUAUCUGCCGCGCUCCCGGCUGUACUGUCUGUCUGCGAGUCUCUCCCUCGCCUUUCUCUCUCUCCCCGCCCACGCAGCGUGGUGCGCCUCGGACCGCAGACAGCGGCGCGCUGCUCGCCGGCUCCGCGCUCGCUGCGCUCAGCGCCGCCGCUCCGGCUCGCGCCGCCUCGGCCACCUCACAGGAGCCGCGGGCUCCGCCGCCAUGGCGCGCCCGACCCCUCCCGCCCCUCUCUCCUCGCAGACACCGCGCCCGGGCGGCUCCUCUCCCUCGGCCCGGCCCCGCGGCUGUGGCCGUCCGUGCGCCUGCCUGUGCGCGCGGUGCUGCUCCUCCAGUCACACCCCGGCACUCCCCAGCGGCCCGGCCCCAGCCGGGAGCUCACACAAAGCGCCGGUCAGCGCUGACGAGAGGGCCGUUUCAUCUUCUCAUACCCUCCCUACGCGUUCCCACCCGCGCCCUAUCGCCCCCCCAACCCUAA